RNAcentral lists this ribosomal RNA (253 nucleotides) under uncultured bacterium. RNAcentral describes it as "partial 16S ribosomal RNA". It matches the Rfam family "Bacterial small subunit ribosomal RNA", at positions 524 to 776 of the family's 1533-position model. The record is from RNAcentral.
UACAGAGGGUGCGAGCGUUGUUCGGAAUUAUUGGGCGUAAAGCGCUGGUAGGUGGCUUGUUAAGUCGCGUGUGAAAGCUCCAGGCUCAACCUGGAAAGUGCGCGCGAAACUGGCGAGCUUGAGUGCCGGAGAGGGUCGCGGAAUUCCCAGUGUAGAGGUGAAAUUCGUAGAUAUUGGGAGGAACACCAGAGGCGAAGGCGGCGACCUGGAAGGUAACUGACACUGAGCAGCGAAAGCGUGGGGAGCAAACAGG